AACGAACGCUGGCGGCAUGCCUAACACAUGCAAGUCGAACGAAGUCUUCGGACUUAGUGGCGCACGGGUGCGUAACGCGUGGGAAUCUGCCCUUGGGUGCGGAAUAACUUCUCGAAAGGGAUGCUAAUACCGCAUAAUGUCGUAAGACCAAAGAUUUAUCGCCCAAGGAUGAGCCCGCGUAAGAUUAGCUAGUUGGUGGGGUAAAAGCCUACCAAGGCGACGAUCUUUAGCUGGUCUGAGAGGAUGAUCAGCCACACUGGGACUGAGACACGGCCCAGACUCCUACGGGAGGCAGCAGUGGGGAAUAUUGGACAAUGGGCGAAAGCCUGAUCCAGCAAUGCCGUGUGAGUGAUGAAGGCCCUAGGGUUGUAAAGCUCUUUUACCAGGGAUGAUAAUGACAGUACCUGGAGAAGUAAGACUCCGGCUAACUCCGUGCCAGCAGCCGCGGUAAU
RNAcentral lists this ribosomal RNA (452 nucleotides) under uncultured bacterium. RNAcentral's name for it is "bacterial SSU rRNA". It matches the Rfam family "Bacterial small subunit ribosomal RNA", at positions 29 to 524 of the family's 1533-position model. The record is from RNAcentral.